CAGUUCGGAUUGUAGGCUGCAACUCGCCUACAUGAAGUCGGAGUUGCUAGUAAUCGCGGAUCAGAAUGCCGCGGUGAAUACGUUCCCGGGCCUUGUACACACCGCCCGUCAAGCCAUGGGAGCCGGGGGUGCCUGAAGUUCGUGACCGCAAGGAGCGACCUAGGGCAAAACUGGUGACUGGGGCUAAGUCGUAACAAGGUAUC
This 203-nucleotide ribosomal RNA is filed under the name uncultured bacterium. RNAcentral describes it as "partial 16S ribosomal RNA". It matches the Rfam family "Bacterial small subunit ribosomal RNA", at positions 1289 to 1500 of the family's 1533-position model. The record is from RNAcentral.